UACGUNCCAGCAGCCGCGGUAAUACGUAGGGCGCGAGCGUUNUCCGGAAUUAUUGGGCGUAAAGAGCUUGUAGGCGGUUGGUCGCGUCUGCUGUGAAAGGCUGGGGCUUAACCCUGGUUUUGCAGUGGGUACGGGCUAACCAGAGUGCAGUAGGGGAGACUGGAAUUCCUGGUGUAGCGGUGGAAUGCGCAGAUAUCAGGAGGANCACCGAUGGCGAAGGCAGGUCUCUGGGCUGUAACUGACGCUGAGAAGCGAAAGCAUGGGGAGCGAACAGGAUUAGAUACCCUGGUAGUCCAUGCCGUAAACGUUGGGCACUAGGUGUGGGGGACAUUNCACGUUUUCCGCGCCGUAGCUAACGCAUUAAGUGCCCCGCCUGGGGAGUACGGCCGCAAGGCUAAAACUCAAAGAAAUUGACGGGGGCCCGCACAAGCGGCGGAGCAUGCGGAUUAAUUCGAUGCAACGCGAAGAACCUUACCAAGGCUUGACAUAUACUGGACUGCGUCAGAGAUGGCGUUUCCCUUCGGGGCUGGUAUACAGGUGGUGCAUGGUUGUCGUCAGCUCGUGUCGUGAGAUGUUGGGUUAAGUCCCGCAACGAGCGCAACCCUCGUUCUAUGUUGCCAGCACGUGAUGGUGGGGACUCAUAGGAGACUGCCGGGGUUAACUCGGAGGAAGGUGGGGAUGACGCCAAAUCAUCAUGCCCCUUAUGUCUUGGGCUUCACGCAUGCUACAAUGGCCGGUACAGAGGGUUGCGAUACUGUGAGGUGGAGCUAAUCCCUAAAAGCCGGUCCCAGUUCGGAUUGGGGUCUGCAAC
RNAcentral lists this ribosomal RNA (811 nucleotides) under uncultured bacterium. RNAcentral describes it as "bacterial SSU rRNA". It matches the Rfam family "Bacterial small subunit ribosomal RNA", at positions 502 to 1311 of the family's 1533-position model. The record is from RNAcentral.